GAUGAAGAACGUAGCGAAAUGCGAUAAGUAAUGCGAAUUGCAGAAUUUCCGUGAGUCAUCGAAUCUUUGAACGCACAUUGCGCCCGCCAGUAUUCUGGCGGGCAUGCCUGUUCGAGCGUCAUUUCAACCAUCAAGCCCUGCUUGCGUUGGGGUCCUGCGGCUGCCCGCAGGCCCUGAAAACCAGUGGCGGGCUCGCUAGUCACACCGAGCGCAGUAAUACAUCUCGCUUUGGGCGUGCGGCGGGUUCUUGCCGUUAAACACCCCCUUUUUACCAAGGUUGACCUCGGAUCAGGUAGGAAUACCCGCUGAACUUAAGCAUAUCAAUAAGCGGAGGA
Molecule: unclassified non-coding RNA, 335 nt
Filed under: soil metagenome
Description: partial contains 5.8S ribosomal RNA, internal transcribed spacer 2, and large subunit ribosomal RNA
Rfam family: 5.8S ribosomal RNA (bases 1-121)
Source: RNAcentral